Molecule: non-coding RNA, 91 nt
Organism: Mycena vitilis
Lineage: Eukaryota; Fungi; Basidiomycota; Agaricomycetes; Agaricales; Mycenaceae
Source: the annotation of a GenBank genome assembly
GUCUAGGUAGUAUAGUGGUUAGUAUGCUCGCUUGUGGUUGUUGAUUGUGACCAAUACGCGAUUGACGUCAGUUCGAUUCUGGCCCUGGACA